ACCCCAGUAGCUCAUCUGGUAGAGUGCGUGCCAUGUAAGCCCAAGACCUUACUGCAGUGGCCCAGGUUCAAAUCCAGCCUGGGAUU
Molecule: non-coding RNA, 86 nt
Organism: Albula glossodonta (roundjaw bonefish)
Lineage: Eukaryota; Metazoa; Chordata; Actinopteri; Albuliformes; Albulidae
Source: the annotation of a GenBank genome assembly